UUUGUGUAGAUAUAAUGGUUGUUGAAAUAUAAUGGUAGAUAUAUUUAUUAUUAUGAGAACUUAUCUAAUCUAUUAUUAUACAUCAUAAAACAACUUUUAAAACAACUUUUAAAAAACCUUACCGGAGUCCUACAUCCAUAACUUUAGAGUAGUUAGAGUAUUGAUUUGUGUCUGAUUUUUUUAGUCUAUUUUCUGGUUUUUCAAUAAAGUGAGUUUUAUACUAUAUAGGAUUGAAUACAGAUCUUAUUAGUCUGAGUUUAAUUAAAUUACUAAAAAUGUAUGAUUUUGUAAUUAAUUAGAAAAAUAGAAAAAUGUGUGAUUUUUAAUUAAUUCUGAAUUACAACCUUUAAAUUUAAU
Molecule: long non-coding RNA, 357 nt
Filed under: Lathyrus oleraceus (garden pea)
Lineage: Eukaryota; Viridiplantae; Streptophyta; Magnoliopsida; Fabales; Fabaceae
Description: Pisum sativum (pea) long non-coding RNA (PSAT_LNC027884)
Source: RNAcentral